AGAGUUUGAUCCUGGCUCAGAUUGAACGCUGGCGGCAUGCCUUGCACAUGCAAGUCGAACGGUAACAGGCCGCAAGGUGCUGACGAGUGGCGAACGGGUGAGUAACACAUCGGAACGUGCCUGAUAGUGGGGGAUAACUACUCGAAAGAGUGGCUAAUACCGCAUAAGAUCUCAGGAUGAAAGCAGGGGACCGCAAGGCCUUGCGCUAACAGAGCGGCCGAUGGCAGAUUAGGUAGUUGGUGGGAUAAAAGCUUACCAAGCCGACGAUCUGUAGCUGGUCUGAGAGGACGACCAGCCACACUGGGACUGAGACACGGCCCAGACUCCUACGGGAGGCAGCAGUGGGGAAUUUUGGACAAUGGGCGCAAGCCUGAUCCAGCAAUGCCGCGUGCAGGAUGAAGGCCUUCGGGUUGUAAACUGCUUUUGUACGGAACGAAAAGCUUCUCUCUAAUACAGGGGGGCCAUGACGGUACCGUAAGAAUAAGCACCGGCUAACUACGUGCCAGCAGCCGCGGUAAUACGUAGGGUGCAAGCGUUAAUCGGAAUUACUGGGCGUAAAGCGUGCGCAGGCGGUGAUGUAAGACAGAGGUGAAAUCCCCGGGCUCAACCUGGGAACUGCCUUUGUGACUGCAUCGCUGGAGUGCGGCAGAGGGGGAUGGAAUUCCGCGUGUAGCAGUGAAAUGCGUAGAUAUGCGGAGGAACACCGAUGGCGAAGCAAUCCCCUGGGCCUGCACUGACGCUCAUGCACGAAAGCGUGGGGAGCA
RNAcentral lists this ribosomal RNA (764 nucleotides) under uncultured bacterium. RNAcentral describes it as "bacterial SSU rRNA". It matches the Rfam family "Bacterial small subunit ribosomal RNA", at positions 8 to 770 of the family's 1533-position model. The record is from RNAcentral.